UUUUCCUCCUUAUUCAAGUUCGGAACUCCCUCUUCUUCAAGAACUCCUCUCUCCUUCUCCAACUAAAACUCCUCCCCUUCAAGGACUCCUCUCUCCUUCGUCCUUCCCUCUUCUCAUUAACCUUCACCUCUUCAACUUCUUCUUCCUCCUUAGGGUUUUUUGGACGGCGGCGAGGCGAGCUAGGGCUUUCUCACGCUUCUCAGUGAGGAUCCGGAACCGGAUGAGCGUGAUCGUGUGAGGAAGCAUCUGCCAUUGUCGAGGAGCAUUGGAGACUCGGUGGAGGUUCCUUCUAUGGAGAGCCAGAGACACCAUUGUUUCUAUCUCUCCUCUCUCUGAAUCCAGGAAUUGAUCUCUAUCUUCUGUAUUUGGUAAUUCCCCAAACUAUAUCCUCAACCACUUCUUUGAUUUUAGUUAUGUCGCUGAAGAGAUUGCCAUUCUGAGGGGUCGAUCAACUACUCAACCACCUGAGAGAGAGCCUUCAUCAUAUGAGGUUGAAUUCCUUCCAGAGGUGUUCUCCCCUCAUGCGGUGGACGGUCACCGCAGUGAGGCUUAUGCCUCUAUUGAUGACCCAAUGCUCAUCCCGACUGUUCCCUAAUUUUCUCUGGAUGGGCCUGAAGAACUUCCUCAGCUGGUGUGGAAGGGAGAUCGCCAUAUCCUAUGAUAAUUGAUCACUGAUGCACCACUUGUUAAAGAUUCUAGCUCUACCCAUCCUUUGAGGAAACCAGAUUAUUUGUUCGGCGACUCCGUUGAAGACCCGGCCGCUGUAUCUCUUGAAGCUGAGCAAUGGCUGCAUAAAGAUGAUGGAGGCCUCCUAUAUCUUCCCCUAAUUCCUCGCCAUCAUUUGCUGACUGAAUUGCGGAAGUAGGCUGUGACACGGGAGAUGUCGUGGCAUUUGUGUAACAACAGUAAUUUUCGAUACAUAUUUAAAUAAUUUUUCUAGUAUUUAAAAUGUUAAAUUUUAUCUUAUUAAUAUUUUUCCCAA
Long non-coding RNA from Asparagus officinalis (garden asparagus), 982 nucleotides. RefSeq lists it as uncharacterized. The transcript is spliced from 4 exons. NCBI's taxonomy places the organism in Eukaryota, Viridiplantae, Streptophyta, Magnoliopsida, Asparagales, Asparagaceae. The record is from RefSeq and is a predicted model, not a curated record.